Molecule: ribosomal RNA, 477 nt
Filed under: uncultured bacterium
Lineage: Bacteria
Description: partial 16S ribosomal RNA
Rfam family: Bacterial small subunit ribosomal RNA
Source: RNAcentral
GACGAACGCUGGCGGCGUGCUUAACACAUGCAAGUCGAGCGGAAAGGCCCUUCGGGGUACUCGAGUGGCGAACGGGUGAGUAACACGUGAGUAACCUGCCCCAGGCUUUGGGAUAACCCUCGGAAACGGGGGCUAAUACCGAAUAUGACUUCCGGCCGCAUGGUUGGGGGUGGAAAGUUUUUCGGCUUGGGAUGGGCUCGCGGCCUAUCAGCUUGUUGGUGGGGUGAUGGCCUACCAAGGCGACGACGGGUAGCCGGCCCGAGAGGGCGACCGGCCACACUGGGACUGAGACACGGCCCAGACUCCUACGGGAGGCAGCAGUGGGGAAUAUUGCACAAUGGGCGGAAGCCUGAUGCAGCGACGCCGCGUGAGGGAUGACGGCCUUCGGGUUGUAAACCUCUUUCAGCAGGGGCGAAGCGUAAGCGACGGUACCUGAAGAAUAAGCACCGGCUAACUACGUGCCAGCAGCCGCCGUAA